AAGUCGUAACAAGGUCUCCGUUGGUGAACCAGCGGAGGGAUCAUUAAAGAGUUUAUAAAACUCCCAAAACCCAUGUGAACUUACCAUUGUUGCCUCGGCGGGAUCUACUCUGUAGCCCGCCGGUGGACCACUAAACUAUUAUUAUUUAUAGUAUCUGAGCGUCUUAUUUUAAUAAGUCAAAACUUUCAACAACGGAUCUCUUGGUUCUG
RNAcentral lists this unclassified non-coding RNA (209 nucleotides) under air metagenome. Its description in RNAcentral is "partial contains small subunit ribosomal RNA, internal transcribed spacer 1, and 5.8S ribosomal RNA". The stretch from base 1 to 46 matches the Rfam family "Eukaryotic small subunit ribosomal RNA", at positions 1786 to 1831 of the family's 1831-position model. The record is from RNAcentral.